UAUGUCAUCCUCAGGACAGAUCCACGGAGGAGCAUUUUAAAGUCCAUCGCAUGUGUAACACCUGAUGGACUCUCCUUCCUUGUUUCCUGUUGUCAGAGUGUACCCCGUAAAUAUAACGGGUAGAGACCUCUGAGAAUAGGGUUAGUUUUACUGCAGAGGGUCUCCGUACAGUCUGACACAGUACUUCUAACGGGGUACAGCUUUGGCUAGUUAACUAGAGCUUGAAUGGAAGGUGCAAAGUCAUUGUUUUCACAGCAGCUGCUGGGAAGAGGUUAAAUUAGCUGAUUUUCCCACUCUUCUGAUUUUAUGAAGCCUGCCGACUUACACUGUACCUCAUAUCUGGUCCUGACAAAACUAUGAAAAGCUUGGUUCUGCAUUUUCUCUUCUGGGAAAAGAAAGAAAAUCUAAUCACUUCUGUGUUGCAUAUGAAUGUAAACACACUUUACUUGUUAUUUUCUCUAACACCCCAACAGCAAAAUGUUUCAGAGUAAUGGGUUCAGUUAAACACAUCUUCCCUGGCACAAAUAUCAUGUUCUCUAAAGACUUUGCUUAGAAAGGCCUACCAGAAACUGUGGAACUAGUUCCCACCACAGUACCAGAUUUUGAGGCAUGCUUUUCUUUUAAUCCAAAACAGAUCUGUGUUGUUUUAUUAUAAUGUCUGAAGCUCCUUAUGAACUCUGGGUUUAAAAAAAAAAUAUGACAUGUGGCUAAUUUAGAAAUGUGAACUAGUGAUUGAAACUCCUAAAUCUGUUAUUGUUGGUGCCUGAAAUAAUAAACCCUUUAGUCUGAAAAUAUUUAAGGUAUUUAAUCCAUUUUCUUUAAUAUCUGCAGAAAGCUGGCAUCAGUGUUUAAAGCAGUGGUCCUCAACCUGUGGUUCCUGGACACCUGAGGCCCGUGAGCCAUAGAUUGUGGGUCAGAGAAGAACAUUUUAAUAAAUCAAUAAAGACCUCGAGCGUACAACUUCUCCAAGAUGAUAUCCUUUAACUGUCAUGGUUCUGUCACGGUUUACUUGGAAUUGGACCCAGAAUGCAGACGAGCAGGCAACGUGAUGGUGGAGCUGUCUGCCAGUAGCAGGAUGCAGUCAGAUUACACCAACUGCAAUAAAAGUUAUUGGACCAGCCAAGGAAGAGACAUCGAAGGUCCAAACGCAAACAGAGUCCAUUCCAAGGUGCUGCUGGUGGCUAGAACAGUGGCUGCUUACCGCAGAUGGCUUCCUAAUCCACCAGAUGAUUCCACUCCUGAGGGACGUCGGCCCAAGCCAACGGGCUAGAGCACUAGGCCUGCUCCAACCAUCACAGGAUGUAAAGAAAGGAGAUCUCCCCAUGAAGGACAACGGCCCACCACAAGAACUGUAAGCUAAUCACUGGAGAGUGAUUGAAGAGGUGGGUGAAGAACACUGUUUUUACAAUGGGCAUAAUAAUCCCUUGCGCAGUGCAACGUUUGCUUUAAAUAAGAUCACGGAUGAGAAGAUGUCUUUUAUCUACCUCAUGUCUCCCAAAUUGAAGAUGUACAGAAGAUGGGACUUUUUGCAUGUUUGUUCUCUGUGUUCAUCAUUGUUAUGUUAUGUUGUUUUUUUCUUUCCAUGUUUUUUUUUUUAUCAAAGCUUAUCAGGUCUGACAGAGCUGUCUCGACAUCAGAACAACUGAGACAGGUAACCGUAAAGGUAACCCUAAGAAUACCACAGUGGCAGCAAGGAUUGACUGGACUCAUGUGUACUGGAAUUCAAAUUCUUGAUUCUAACGAUGUAGAUGUGUGUCGAACACACACACAGUUGACGAUUGGUGAAUCAUUAUUUCAUUUUAUUAUUAUCUUUUUUAUUUUUCUUACUUUAAUAGAUUUUUGAGUGUUCUAAUUCAUUCCUUAAAAUGUUGUUGAUUACAUUAAUUUCCCCCUACAGAGUUAGUUGAUAGGUGUUUUAUACACGUUUUCCAUCUGAAAGAUCGUUUUUUGCCCACACAGAGGUUGACAGUUAUGGUAGUUUUGGAAGUUUUAAUUUGUGAUUUAUAGUAAUCAGUUUUAUUACUAAUUUCUUCCUACCAAUUCAUACAUUUUUAUUCGUUUUUAUUAUUAUUAAUAAUCUUUUUAUUCAUUUUUUAUUACUAAUUUUAUUGUUAAUUUUUAUUAUUAAUCAAUUCACUUUUAUAAUUAAAUUUUCUUAUACUUUCCUUCAUUGUCAUUCAGUAAAAUUUCUUUUAUGGUUUUCUUCAGUGUUCGAUAAUAUAGGAAACAAGUUUCAUUAUGAUCGAAGAGGAUGGAUGGAUUAUCAUGGAAAAUUUUAGUGCCUUGCUUUCUUUUCUACUAGAUACUCUGCAGGAUCUGAUAAAAGUAUUCAAACCCUUCUGUGUUAUUCUCUUCUGCCUCCAGAGUUAGGACAGAUGGUUCUGUUUAGUCUUACAAAGAUGGUUUUUCAACCUUCUCCAAUUCACUUGUAUGAGAUAAGAUGUAUGCCACACUGUAAGGUUCCAUUUCCAUUGUCAACAUGUUUAGGACAACAGGUUUCACCUCAUCUCUCUGGGUCUCAUGAGAGUUACCUUGAAAACUGUUGUAGCUUAUAAGGAGAACCUUUGCUUUGUCUAGUCAGAACGAUUUGGCAGCACUACUGAGCGCAUCUCCAAUGCUGUAAAAAAU
Molecule: long non-coding RNA, 2628 nt
Organism: Girardinichthys multiradiatus
Lineage: Eukaryota; Metazoa; Chordata; Actinopteri; Cyprinodontiformes; Goodeidae
Exons: 3
Source: RefSeq, a predicted model, not a curated record